This 74-nucleotide transfer RNA is filed under the name Actinocrinis puniceicyclus. Its description in RNAcentral is "actinobacterium OB1 tRNA". It matches the Rfam family "tRNA". From Rfam's summary of the family: Transfer RNA (tRNA) molecules are approximately 80 nucleotides in length. Lineage: Bacteria; Bacillati; Actinomycetota; Actinomycetes; Catenulisporales; Actinospicaceae. The record is from Rfam by way of RNAcentral. RNAcentral also lists the same sequence under 4 other names.
GGACCUAUAGCUCAGUCGGUUAGAGCGCUUCCCUGAUAAGGAAGAGGUCGGAGGUUCAAGUCCUCCUAGGUCCA